Phalacrocorax carbo (great cormorant) is the source of this 9248-nucleotide non-coding RNA. The record is from RefSeq and is a predicted model, not a curated record. Lineage: Eukaryota; Metazoa; Chordata; Aves; Suliformes; Phalacrocoracidae.
UGCAAACCCUAGUGAAGAUGUGGUUGGGCUGCCCUGAGAUCUGCAGCACAAUAUGCCUGUCACCUUAUUUCCAAAUAACGAUGUUACCUGCACUGCCUUUUUGUUUAGUAGCAACAUUGGCCAGAGCUGUUGCUCAUGGCACAAUCUGCCCACUCCAGCCCUGGCCCUGCCUGAGAGGGGGUCCCCUGCCAGGGGGUCACCUAGCACACUGAAAACCCCAUGUUAACAAGUGAGAUAGGCACCUAUGUUGGAGCCAGUGGCUAAAUUCAGGCCUUAAGCAUUGAUGGUGCUUUAAGAAGAUGGGGCUUAUGUCUGAGCUGUUUGGCUGUUCCAAAAAGUUCAGUGCUGUGGCUGUCCCGCCCUUUUUUGCUUGCAGAGGAGCCGUGCUGCUUGGCCAGGCCUUUGUAAGCACAGCUAAGUAGCUCUCGUGCCUGGCAGUCUUAAGUCAAUGUGGUAAAAAAGGAGGAAGCUGGGAAACAAAGAGGCAGAGAGGUGACAUGACCCAGAAGUGGGGACUUCACCCGCAAAUGUAAACAAAUUAGUAAUAAUUUAAUUAAGCGGAUCUCCCCAUGGGCUUGUCCUGGCCAACUCACAAAUCAAACUUCACCCAACCGUACUUAUGCUAUCUUAAUUUUAGCUAAAACAUAUUUGCAAAGCAUUUUGACCCAGUCUAGACAAUCCCUUACUGUCUUUCUACAACAAGUUGGUAUUUCCAAAUUAUGUGUCAUGCUGCCACAGUGUGACCAUUCAAGCCUGAUGUCUGUGUAGCCUGGAAAAGCUGUGGUUAUUUUGUGCUGGAUUGGGCCCAAAUUCAGUUGACGUAUUUUAAGUCACGUGGUACUGCUUGUUUCAUUUAUAAUCACGUGCCGUAUCUUUGGAAUGAUGCCUAAUGUUACAUUCCACUUGAUCUGGGGUAUUUUUAUUCAUAUGCCGUAUCUGAUUGAAAUGUAAUUGGCAAUAUACAAGGUAUGCAUGUAUACAUGUGCAGAUGAAUAAGCAUUUUCUUAGAUCUGUGGGAUUUCAGUUGCAUUCCGUGGGCAUGAUUCAUUUCCUCCUCUGAAACUCCGGCUAUUGGUGCUGAGGGUGUGGAGCUUGCCAGCUUUACAGGCCAAAUAGGUGGAGUCGUCCAGGACAAAGUUGGGCCACAGACUGUCUGAUAGAUACGCUGGAUCAGUGUAAUCCACAGGUCUUUUGAUCCACGUCUUUUCUGAAUGUUUCUAACUAUUCUUAUAUCUGUGCUGAUGAAUUCCUGGCCCUAGUAAGCACCAACUUCAUUAUAUUUCCCUGCAAGGACUACCUUAGCUAACACAGCUGCUGUCAUAGGGAAAAAGAGGACCAAAAAAUAGGGCCCGCUGCACUCUGAGAGGAGGUGCACAUCAAUGACAGCUGUCAUUCGUAACUGACACCUGGAUUCUGCCUGCAAAUACAUAACUAUAGCUGUGAUACACCUGUGAGCAUGAGAGCUGACAGCAGUAGAGUCAUACUGACAUAAAUUAGGCCCUUUCUAAAUCAGACAUUCCCACUUUACAGGUAGUUUUGGCCUACUAAUGCCAUAUUUGGUUCUGGGUGACUAUACGUAGGUGAGUGACGCAGAUCCUUGCACACAGACUUCAAGCAAGUGGCAUCUAAUAGGUAGAGGAGUAGUUUUCUUUCAGCUUGGUCCUACAGCAGUGCUAGGUAUAUAGUCUCCAUUCUCAUGAUUUACACAAUGCUAGUGCCACAUUAAUGUUGGUGGGCGAGUGUUCCUCUAUCUCAUGUGCUUGAUCACACUUCUAUUCCUACAACUCAUCAAAAGUCUAUUGUCCUGCUCCUCACAAAAAGUCAUGUAGUCAAAGGAAGUAAAAAAGGCUGUUACUAUAAUUUCCCAGUUGAAAUGUAUUUUAUUAGAAAUGUUAUUCUCUUGAUAAAACAAUGAUCAGUCUCUGAUUCUGCAGUGGUGUUUUAGACUUAAUUAAUAAAUCAUGCUUGCCACUUUUCAUUUAGGAAGGAUUUUACAGACAUAAUUAAUUAAACCUGACAGUAUCCUUGUGGGAUAAGUAAGUACUCCAACUUUUAAAAUACUAACACUCAGGCAAACUGAUUAUGCUGCUUUCUCAAAUCAGUGCAAGGACCAAGACUAGAAUUUAGAACUUCCUGCUACCAUGACAUAAUUUGAGAGAUGAGACUACCCAUCCUUUUCUUAUUUCAUUCUGGUAACCAUGCGUGUGAUGCCUGACUUGUUGGGUGUGGUUCCGUGGCCUAUAUAAUGCAGUGUGUUAGACUAGACUAUUUUCUGCUUAAAAUCUAUUACUUGAUUUAACUUGGAACAGAGGUUUUACAGUAUCUCUGUCUGGAACCAUCAUAUAUGUAACUGUCAUAAUGCUGCUGUUCAUUCGUUCAUCCUUAUUGUUUCCUCCAGUACAUACCAUUUUAAUAGUAGUAGCAGCGCUUUAUAGUGCUUAAUAACGGUCUGUCAAGACCAAGAUCACAUUAUGCAAGACUCUGUACUGAGAAAAGUUAUAAGGUAUUCAUUGGCCCUUGAUUUCUAAUCUGCACAUGAAAGAUGCCUGUGGGAGUGAUGAACACAAAACCAGUUGUUCACAAGGUACCCAGAUUAACAAAGGAUGGGUCAAAAGUUGCUCUAAUAAGUAUUCAAUGUUUCUCACUCCUGAAAAUGUUCCUAGACAUAGGCAAGAGAAGGGAUGAAAGGUAGCACUUAAAAUAUGAAACAUAUGUGUACGUUCCUUUUAGGAUAUUCUAAGUGUGCAGGGAUAUUAAUAAAGGUAGAUUUUGUCCACUGCAGUCACUUCAAGAAUUUUAAAACAUGCCUUUCAAGAGUGGGUUUUCUGUCUGCUAGACAGUCAGUCAUGUACUAUCGUAUAUACGGAGACUGGCUCAUCUGAAUAUAUAUUCUUUUACAUUUUAAUGGUAUCUCAAAGUGUAAGUUGCAGAUAAUGUAUUUGCAAGACUUAAAUGUGUUAUACUCUUUCAUAUUAUUUUUGCAUGGAGGAUCAGGAAAGGAUGAAAAGAAACCUUUGUGUGCAUAUUCUUAGGACAAUAAUUAAGAUGCCGUAUGACAUGAGGGAACAUUUUUUACUUCAGAUACUAUGACAUCGUACUGUUUGACAGAAAUGUAAUUAACCAUAAUGAAUCUAAGUUGAUAUUUGCAAGUGCAGCUUCCUGCCAAACAUCAGUAGUUGUCUGCUUCAGUUUCUGUGUUGUCAGUGCAAUGGGUAGAGACAGCCUGUUAAGAUACCUGCUACUGGGUUGGGAGCAGAGGGGAGAGAAAUACAAAUGUUACAUUACUUAUAUUAACCUUGUAUUAAUACAAUAACUACUCUUAAAUAUACUUAUUGUCUCACAGUGAGUGCCUAGAUAUCAUUUUCUGAACAAGUCUGUGGUAAAUAACUAUAUUUUAUUCUUCUUAUAGCCCACAGUUUGUAAUAGUGCAGCUACUUAGACAUAAUCUAGAUUUAAAAAUAGCUGUAAAACUGGUUUUGCCCUCACAUUAGUCCCUUUGUUGUGCUUUAAUAUCUUUGUCUCCAUCCUGUGCUGUGAGUCCUUUCAGGGAAGGAACAUGUACUGCUCUGUGCAUAUAAUGUAAUGAACCUGAGAAACCAAGGUCCCUUUUUGCUUGGCCAUAAGUAUCAUCAGCAUGGUCGGCCUUGUUAGUGUUAAUAAUAAUUUUAAAUUUGGCAGCAAUAAUUUGACAUGAAUUGGCUAGUUAGACAUCCAGGUAAUCUUGUAGGAGUUAAUACUUCAGAUUCUAGCUUUCCUUAACCUUGUGUUUCCUCUGAUUUGCUAGCCUUAGUGCUUAGGUUUGGUUUGCUCUGAUUAAUUUUAACUGAAUACAGAUGGAGAGCAGUGAAUGGGUUAGUUGUAGUGUACAGUAUAUUUUAUAGGAAAACAAUACCAAAAAUAGGUCUCUGCCUCUUUACUUUUGCUCUCCCUGUAAUGAAACUAAUUGCUUUUAAUUAUAGCUUGCAGAGACACUGUGCUGAAUUACUUAAUCUCUGUGUAAGGACUGGAUUCUGGUUUCUUAAUUGGCAUCUGAACGUUUGGCAACUUUGCAAAAAUCCAAAGCUAAGAGCGAGCAUACAGUAUGAGAUGUGUAUUAUGUACAUGGUAGCUCUCUAUUAUCUGUCAGACCCCUGUGCCUUAAAGGUCUUAAGGAACAGGAGAGAGCGAACAUUGCAUGCCCUUGCAAUGGGAGUUUUUCAUCCAGUUGUGGCACUGUUUGAAAUAAUUUGAAAACUCCUUGAAACAUUUGAAAACUCCUAGACCAAAGUAAGUUAUACUCUUCUUGAAACGAUCAGCUGAAGGAGAAUAAAAAAAAGAUUGGGUAUCUUAAUUUGUUUUCCAACUCAGGACACUCUAUGAUUCUCUGAGAUGCAAGUUGAUUGGAAAUGUUCCUUGCUAAAACUGAAGUUGCAUUUCCAGUAGUUGGGAGUAGCUCCCAAAUUACAUUACCCCACCCACAACUCCUUGCUUUCGGUUUACCUGGGGAGAUUCUACAAGGAAGCUAAAAGAGAAAAGGAGGACAGCAAGAAAAGGGAGAGCACACAGGACAGGUCUAAAAAGACAGAAAUUUAAAGCAGGGUGCCUCAAGCAGGUAAACCCUCAUUUUGAAUUACCUUCAGCAGAGGUAACACAUGGUUACACUGGGCGUGGAAUGUUGUGGGUGUUCAUAAAUCCUGUUUAAAGCAAGAUCACGUCACUGAUUUCUUCGUCCCUUGCUAAAAAUGUUAUCAGCCAGAUCCUCAGCUAGCGUAAAUUUUCAAAGCUCCAUUGGCUUGAAGGAGAAAUGUCUUAAGGAUCCAGUCUGUAGUGUGGAGAGGCCUCAUUCUUUGGGUGCUGAGUUUGACGUGGCUUCCUUUUGACUGGCCCAUUGUAAGCCCCACUUAUAUUCAGAUAGCAUUCUUGUAAUAGGAAUAUUUAUCUCCUUGUGUAGAGAAUGUUCUGCUAGCUUAAAGAGGACCUACAAAUUAAUAAUAAUGGAUGCAGGGUUUUAUUAGUUUCUCUUUAAAAGAAACCAUACAAAUAAUUUUUAGGGAAAAUGGUUGGAUUUUUUUUUGUUUUAUAAAGUAAGCUCAGGUUGGAAAACACCAACUUAAUUACAUUACAGACUUGUGUAUCUUCUUGUUGGCUCAAUAUUGGAAUAGUUCGCAAUUUUGUUUAUACAACAUCUUCUCACACCCAUACAACUGAAAUUAAAUUGUUAGUAUGGUGUUUAAGGAAUGUCACUGGUGUAUUUUGGACUCCCCUCCAGUGUUUCUUCUAAUCCUUUCCAAAAUAGAGGUAAUUAUGCAUCAUCCGUGAGGAAUUUGUAAUACAGCGUACUAUGCCCCUUGAGGAUCUUAAGCCAUAUAUAUGUGAGGCCUGGAAAAAUCAUGUCCUCACAUGGUUAUAUUUGAAUAUUAGCAACACGACAAUGAUACAGCUGUGCAUUUGUUCCUUCGUGUUCCUGUCUGACUUGGGCUGUGGCCUAGAAGUGAUGUCGGUGUCAGAAUAUGUCAGAUCACUUGUUUCGCAAAGCAGGGCCACGAAGAAGUCUUGCUAGCAUGUGAAAGUCACAGAUGGAAAAUCAUGUUGAUGAUGGUUGUUUUUUUUUCUCCCCGUUGUUCUUUUGUAGCAGGAAGUUACAGAAGCAGUUUAUCAGGAGAAGCCUUCAUGCCACUCGAACUGUCUCUCACACCCGCAGAACUGGGCAUGGCACUGAAGCACCUUCACCGCAUGGUUCGUGCGGGCAGCCCUUUCCCUGUAAAGGCUCUACAGGUGAUCUUGUGGCUGUCAUAACCGAGGAUCUUAAAUAUUGCAGAUGUGGUGAGACCAAUCUUCCUGGCCCUCUGAGCCACAUACCAAAAUUUAGGACUGCCAGACAGCCAGCUUGUUCUUCAGUGAACCAAGGGAGAAGGGCACCAUGUGCUUUUUGCAGGUGGGAAAUGACGUGGCUCCCAGGAAUGCUAGCUGUCCAUUGUGGGUCAGGGCUAGGCCAAAGGGUGUAACUUCAAGGUGUAACGAAGUGUAAUGUCAACUUCAGUAGCACCUGAUCAAUUACUCCCUCUCACAGUGGGGGUUUAUCCUACAGAAGCACAGCCCAUCUGUUGGAUGUGGGACAGAGUGCCAGCAUGGGAGCUGUGCUUGAAAACCUUGUAGCCCAGGGGAAGCAGGCUGGCAACCUCCCCUGUAGUUCUUUGUUGCUGAGGUUCCAAGUGGUGGUUCUUCUCUGUCUCUGCCUUUAGAUCUGUGCUCUGUGCCCCUUGGUCCCUUAUUAAACCCAGCCGAUGUUCUCCACUUUAGUUGUGUAGAUUGUGGCUUGUAUUUUAACAUCACCAUACACUUUAAGUAGUAGUGCCCAGGACUCAGCCUACAAAAAUUGUCAUGAGUCCCCACAGAACUUAGGAUUUGCAGAAUCAUGCAAUGUUUGCACAUGCUAAAUUUGUGCGUUCUCGUCUACCUUCUACUGCUAUUUGUUUGUUUUGGUGGGUUUUGAGCUGCUGGGGAAUCAAGCUCGUCUGUGCAAGCACAACUGCCUGACACUUUCUUUGGAAUUCAAAAACAAAAGAUGAGAUUUUGAUGUUAUCACCUAUCUGCAGGGGUUUGGGGCUUUUGCUAGAGCUCUCAAGACUCACCGUAAAACUGAAGAGGGAAUUUUAUCAGCAACUGGCUAAGACAUAUGAAGAAUUGGUGCUGCCUGAUAAAUUCUUCUUGUACGCACAGGAUUGCUGGACUCCUUUAAAGCAGCUGCGCCCCAUGAAAGUGGCUUUGCAGUACCCACAAAGAGAGUGAGGCUUGGCAGGCGCUGUUUGAUCAGAAGGAACUACCUAUUGCCACAUCGUUCCUUUGUACCCUCGCUUCCGCUCUCUAUCACAAGAGACGACGUGUGGUCAGAGUGUGUUUGGGAGCCAGGAACUUCUAAUUCUGGUUCUAACACUGUUGUCUUCGUGAUGUGAAAGCAGGUAUAUGGGCAUUUUUAAAGGAUUUUUAAAAAAUAGCCUCUAAUUGGGGUGCCCACAUCUGGCUAUGUAGUCAAAGGCAUACUAGGCCUGAUUUUCAGAAGUGGUAAAUACCCGUGAAUCCUUUCAUUCUCAGCUGGGACUGUAGAUACUCAACAAUGAGUAGUCAGGGCAAAUUAGUUAUUCUUUAGAAGGUGUGAACGUGAAUUGGGCUACAUAAGUUUCUAAGCAUUUAGGAAACUAAUGAGCAGCACUAAUAUUAAGGACUGUUCUUAAUAGCAACUGCAGUUUUCACAUUGAGAUGCCUUAUAAGAUGCAAAUUCAAGAAGAGGAGGAGGAGUAAUGAAGAAAAAUGAUGUAAAAAUUCAGUGCAGUAAAGUACAGUUUACAGAGUGUGUGACUUCCAAAGAAUAUUGGGAAAAUAGGAAACUUUCAUUUCUUUAAAAAACCCCAAAACUGUAGUCUCAUAAGACUGAAAAUAACUUAGUGUUAUUUGCUGUUGCUUUAAAAUACACAGUCUGCUACUCCGUCUUCUCUUUCCCUUUCCCUUUUCUGCCCUCAGGAGACUGGCUCUCCAGAAAGUAGGUUUUGAGAUUUGGGAGUAGUUAAGAAAGAUGGUGGAAUGCUUCACAACUUCACAACUGCAUUAGGGUCAGGAAUAUUAUUUUAGUUUCUGAGACCCUUCCUCAGCUGACUUUCACAAAUGAGGCUUGUGAAGCAUCAGUGCCAUUUCAAGACAAUCUUACUCUUGUGCUUCUAUAUGGAAGAAGCAGAUCUAUUCUGGAAGUAACCAGUCAACAGAAUAUUGUUCCAAAUAAAUUACAAUAUUGGGCAUCAUACGCGAUAUUUUGGUCUGGUGUUUGCUCUUGGAGCCUGAGUACUGUGGUCUAUGCUGUCUGCACUGUACUGAAGUAUGGCUGAGUUUCACUCUGACUCCUAUCCCCAGGGGCCUUGUGAAGAAGAGAUUCAUAUCUCAUGGGAUUAUCCCACAGAGCAAAGAAAUGAAAUAAAUAGUACUACUUUCUUGGUUCUGUCAAGUAUAGUAGCUCAUAGAGCCUUUCAAGGCAGUGUCAGCACGGGAUAGAUAUUGCAUCAGUGCAUAAAAAGACAUCCUUUACAAGAACAGCACUGCAAAAUGAGGCCAAUGUGAGCCUAAUGGGUGGUGGAAAACAGUGAGCCUUUUUUUUUUUUCUCUCUCUUUUUCCCUCCCUAAUGCAAGCCUGCAGGGGUUUAUUUUCCAGUGUGUGUGAGUCUUGGGGCAAAUCAGCUUACUGAAAUUCUUCUACAACAGGAGCUCCGAGGAAACCACUGUAGUAGUAGGGAUCUUUUUUGGGAACCAAUUAGAGCUUGUGCUGGUUGUUCCUCCUUGGCAGCUUUAAUGAAUCUAUCAACAGAGAAGUACUAGGAAAUAAAGGAUUUUACAGUAGUCUCUGUUAGGAUGAAGCCCACGGGCUCUCCAGUUCCUUCCACAGUACAAUACAAUGCUUCAAAAAGACGGAAAAGGUUGUUAUGAUAACUUAGUCAUGUGUGAAUAACCAGGAGAGCUAAAAUGAGUUUAAUAAUUUUACUGUACUGUAACUUUAGGAAGAAAUAGUCCCCAGAACAAUUCCUGUUCCCUGUACUGCAGAAAAUCUUGGGAAAGCCCACGUGAAAUGUGUCUGUCAAUGCAAACUAAUUCAAGCAGGUACGGUAAAUUUCAAAAUCUUGUAUUAUCAUUACAGAGUAUAAACUCCCUUUUCUUUUUAUUUGUCCACCAGUCCUUUCACCCAAUGCCUUAGACAUAUUUUUAUAACUAAAUUCCACAGCAUAUCUCUGAAAUACAUUAUGACAUUUGAUCAUAUUUUAUCUAAAAAUCCCAGAUACUCCUUGUGGUAUCAUACAAUUCCUAGUCUUUGGCAAGGCUCUACAAUAACCUCACAAUUAUCUGUUGUACCCUAUACCCUAUCUGGUUUCUCUUUCAGUUAACCCUUGAGUGCACUCCAAACUGAUAGUAUCUUUUAAGAAAAAAGUGUAAUACUGUCCUGAGAAAUGGAAGAAGAAAAGGCAUAAGCUUAGAGAAGGAGGAGUUGUGACUGUAUAGCAGCUGCAGCCAGAAACUGGAUGGCAGGCUAGCCAGGACGGGAUUGAGGAUGAAGCAGCCCUGGACUGGACUUUUAAGGACGGAGGUUGGAAUUGGCUAGGAAAGACCCUCAUGGCUGGGAGCUGCAGAAGGAAACACAGCAGCACUCUACCAGCUACUAUGGAGAAAAUUAACUUUAUCCAGCCAAAACCAGGACAAUCAGAGAGUCUUUGGAGUUUGGUGACAAAACAAAC